Molecule: ribosomal RNA, 373 nt
Filed under: uncultured organism
Description: partial 16S ribosomal RNA
Rfam family: Bacterial small subunit ribosomal RNA
Source: RNAcentral
GAAGGGGUGCAAGCGUUAAUCGGAAUUACUGGGCGUAAAGCGCGCGUAGGUGGGCUUGUUAAGUCGGAUGUGAAAGCCCCGGGGCUCAACCUGGGAAUUGCAUUCGAUACUGUCAGGCUAGAGUAUGGUAGAGGGAAGCGGAAUUUCCGGUGUAGCGGUGAAAUGCGUAGAUAUCGGAAGGAACACCAGUGGCGAAGGCGGCUUCCUGGACUAAUACUGACACUGAGGUGCGAAAGCGUGGGUAGCAAACAGGAUUAGAUACCCUGGUAGUCCACGCCGUAAACGAUGAGAACUAGCUGUUGGGAAGUCUAACUUCUUGGUGGCGCAGCUAACGCGUUAAGUUCUCCGCCUGGGGAGUACGGUCGCAAGAUUA